GCAGCCGCCGCGGGAAUACGUAGGGUGCGAGCGUUAAUCGGAAUUACUGGGCGUAAAGCGAGCGCAGACGGUUACUUAAGCAGGAUGUGAAAUCCCCGGGCUCAACCUGGGAACUGCGUUCUGAACUGGGUAGCUAGAGUAUGUCAGAGGGGGGUAGAAUUCCACGUGUAGCAGUGAAAUGCAUAGAGAUGUGGAGGAAUACCGAUGGCGAAGGCAGCCCCCUGGGAUAAUACUGACGUUCAUGCUCGAAAGCGUGGGUAGCAAACAGGAUUAGAUACCCCCGUAGUCCCUGUCUCUUAUAC
RNAcentral lists this ribosomal RNA (302 nucleotides) under uncultured bacterium. RNAcentral's name for it is "partial 16S ribosomal RNA". It matches the Rfam family "Bacterial small subunit ribosomal RNA", at positions 508 to 807 of the family's 1533-position model. The record is from RNAcentral.